This 440-nucleotide ribosomal RNA is filed under the name uncultured bacterium. RNAcentral describes it as "bacterial SSU rRNA". It matches the Rfam family "Bacterial small subunit ribosomal RNA", at positions 338 to 778 of the family's 1533-position model. The record is from RNAcentral.
CCUACGGGAGGCAGCAGUGAGGAAUAUUGCGCAAUGGGCGAAAGCCUGACGCAGCGACGCCGCGUGGGGGAUGAAGGUCUUCGGAUUGUAAACCCCUUUCGGGUGGGAAGACGGCCCUAGACAACUAGGGCGGACGGUACCACCAGAAGCAGCCACGGCUAACUUCGUGCCAGCAGCCGCGGUAAUACGAAGGUGGCAAGCGUUGUUCGGAUUUACUGGGCGUAAAGGGAGCGUAGGUGGUUAGGUAAGCCCUCCGGGAAAUCUUCAGGCUUAACCUGAAAAGGUCGGGGGGGACUGCCUGGCUAGAGGACGGGAGAGGAGCGCGGAAUUCCCGGUGUAGCGGUGAAAUGCGUAGAGAUCGGGAGGAAGGCCGGUGGCGAAGGCGGCGCUCUGGAACGUUUCUGACACUGAGGCUCGAAAGCGUGGGGAGCAAACAGGAU